Molecule: ribosomal RNA, 484 nt
Filed under: uncultured bacterium
Lineage: Bacteria
Description: partial 16S ribosomal RNA
Rfam family: Bacterial small subunit ribosomal RNA
Source: RNAcentral
AUUGAACGCUGGCGGCAGGCCUAACACAUGCAAGUCGAGCGGAUGAAGGGAGCUUGCUCCUGGAUUCAGCGGCGGACGGGUGAGUAAUGCCUAGGAAUCUGCCUGGUAGUGGGGGAUAACGUCCGGAAACGGGCGCUAAUACCGCAUACGUCCUGAGGGAGAAAGUGGGGGAUCUUCGGACCUUACGCUAUCAUAUGAGCCUAGGUCGGAUUAGCUAGUUGGUGGGGUAAAGGCCUACCAAGGCGACGAUCCGUAACUGGUCUGAGAGGAUGAUCAGUCACACUGGAACUGAGACACGGUCCAGACUCCUACGGGAGGCAGCAGUGGGGAAUAUUGGACAAUGGGCGAAAGCCUGAUCCAGCCAUGCCGCGUGUGUGAAGAAGGUCUUCGGAUUGUAAAGCACUUUAAGUUGGGAGGAAGGGCAGUAAGUUUAUACCUUGCUGUUUUGACGUUACCAACAGAAUAAGCACCGGCUAACUUCGUG